RNAcentral lists this small nuclear RNA (100 nucleotides) under Otolemur garnettii (small-eared galago). Lineage: Eukaryota; Metazoa; Chordata; Mammalia; Primates; Galagidae. The record is from RNAcentral.
GUGUUCAUUUCGGCAGCACAUACACUAAAAUUGGAAUGAUAUAGAGAAUAUUAGGAUGGCCUCUGUGCAAGGAUGACACGCAAAUUUGUGAAUAUUUUUU